CAGCCUUGGUCCUCCUGUUUCUGAUGCUGUCUGUACUGCUGUUACUGUGGAGGUACUGGGGGAUCCUGAAACAAAUGAUAAGCAGUGACCAUCGACCGAGUGAGAAUCAGGAUACGGAUCAAACCUACAGUCUAAUCUCAGUUGUACCAGGUACAGUAUAUCAGUUCAUAUU
This is a long non-coding RNA of Coregonus clupeaformis (lake whitefish), 172 nucleotides long. RefSeq lists it as uncharacterized. Lineage: Eukaryota; Metazoa; Chordata; Actinopteri; Salmoniformes; Salmonidae. The transcript is spliced from 3 exons. The record is from RefSeq and is a predicted model, not a curated record.